AGAGUGCGAGAGAGCAAUUAUCACCUGCGAGUUGCAAAAAAACACUGCGAGCGCUGCCUGCAGCCGUGGGCGCCGUGCAGAUAAGAUGGAAAAAAGGGACACACUGAGUGGACGCAACAGUGGCAAUGAGGUGAUGUGAUUUCCGAGAGCGAGGUGCAAAAAUGAUUUUUUCAAGAAGAUGUGAAAAUACUCACAGAAGUUGCUGAGAUGGUCCGGCGUUGUCUUCAUCCUUGUCGUCGGUGCUCAGGUUGUCCCUGGCCGAGUCCAUCCUGAUGAGCUCCAGGUCUCGCAGCGACUGGUGCUGCUGAAUGGAGGAAGGAAUGCAAAAGGAAUGUGGUUGGCAGGCAACUGUCGAUAUCAGCGCAGAAAAAAACAAUCAAAACGAAUUCCACUCCUGUUGCAUCGUUUCAUGAAGCCUCGUCAUCCUCUUCUGCCACCAGAGUUCCACAGAAGAGCACAAAUAACGUGGAAAAAGGAGCUUUGCCGGUUUAAAUCUCAUUGAAAAAUAUAAAAAUAUUUCUGCAGUGUUCCAUCAAAUUUUGAAGCUGGAUUUCAUCAUAUAUCGAUGCUUCCUUAGCCGUCUCCGCAAAAUGAAGACAUGAAGAGUCAUACUUUUUUUACUUCAAAG
Neocloeon triangulifer is the source of this 628-nucleotide long non-coding RNA. RefSeq lists it as uncharacterized. The transcript is spliced from 5 exons. The record is from RefSeq and is a predicted model, not a curated record. NCBI's taxonomy places the organism in Eukaryota, Metazoa, Arthropoda, Insecta, Ephemeroptera, Baetidae.